CGCGUAGGCGGUUCGCUAAGUCGGAUGUGAAAACUCUGGGCUCAACCCAGAGCCUGCAUCCGAAACUGGCGGGCUAGAGUUCUGGAGGGGGUAGCGGAAUUCCUGGUGUAGCGGUGAAAUGCGUAGAUAUCAGGAGGAACACCGGUGGCGAAGGCGGCUACCUGGACAGAAACUGACGCUGAGGCGCGAAAGCUAGGGGAGCAAACAGGGUUAGAUACCCUGGUAGUCCUAGCCCUAAACGAUGGAUACUUGGUGUGACGGGGAUUGAAUCCCGUCGUGCCGAAGCUAACGCAUUAAGUAUCCCGCCUGGGGAGUACGGUCGCAAGGCUGAA
This 332-nucleotide ribosomal RNA is filed under the name uncultured bacterium. Its description in RNAcentral is "bacterial SSU rRNA". It matches the Rfam family "Bacterial small subunit ribosomal RNA", at positions 568 to 898 of the family's 1533-position model. The record is from RNAcentral.